This 133-nucleotide ribosomal RNA is filed under the name uncultured bacterium. RNAcentral describes it as "partial 16S ribosomal RNA". The record is from RNAcentral.
ACGGAGUUAGCCGAUGCUUAUUCCUCAGGUACCGUCAAGAUUCUUCCCUGAGAAAAGAGGUUUACAAUCCAAGAACCUUCCUCCCUCACGCGGUAUUGCUCCGUCAGGCUUUCGCCCAUUGCGGAAAAUUCCC